RNAcentral lists this ribosomal RNA (974 nucleotides) under Epizoanthus cf. arenaceus TDS-2010. RNAcentral describes it as "partial 12S ribosomal RNA". It matches the Rfam family "Bacterial small subunit ribosomal RNA", at positions 314 to 1533 of the family's 1533-position model. The record is from RNAcentral. Lineage: Eukaryota; Metazoa; Cnidaria; Anthozoa; Zoantharia; Epizoanthidae.
GAAGGCUCAUAAGUCCCCCUAGGACGAGGCAGCAGUAGAGAAUAUUGUGCAAUAUACGUCAGUAUGACACAGAGAGCACACAUCACACUUAGCCUGUCAAAUUAAGUGCCAGCAGACGCGGUUAGACUUAAGGGCUAAGCCUUUAUAGGUAAAAAGGCGUAAAGGGUGUGUAGGCCGACAAUUCCCCCCCAAGGUGGUAAAUGGAAUUUUUCUGUAACGGUAGAAUGUGUGGAUAGAAAAUAGAACCCCAAAGGCAAAAGCAAUUUACCUCGGGGAAGGGGGGUGAAAAUCUGAUAUUCCCGAUCGGGACCUAUCACUCCACCCCCCCGAGCACAGGCUGAAACACGAGGGUGUGGGUAACAAACAGGAUUAGAGACCCUGGUAGUCCACACUGUAAACGAUGAAGAAAAUGUUAAUGCAACCCCGAAAGGUAGUAAUCUUCCGCCUGAGUAGUACGAUCGCAAGAUUAAAAUUCAAAAAAUUUGGCUGUUCACUGUUUCGAUUAGAGGAGCGUGUAGUUUAAUUCGAUAAACCGCGAGAUACCUUACCCAAACUUGAAUCACCCAUCCGAGAUUGAAUGGUCUCGGGAGGGUAGACCGGUAUUGCAUGGCCGUCGUCAGUUCGUGUAUGAAACCUUUAACGGACCUAACCCGGGGGGUUAGCCGCGGAUGAAGUCAGGUCUUAUGAUCCCUAUGUUUGGGGAUAAUAUGCGCUACAUUUUCUUAUACAAUGGGAAACCUGAAAGGUGAAACCCCAAAGUAGGAGUUCGGUAGGUCAUUGUAAGAUGACCGAAAGUUGAAUUUAAUAGUAAUCGGAAAGUAGAGCGUUCCGGUGAAAUGAUCUAAGUGUUAGCACAAAUCGCCCGUCACCUUAACUUAGAACGAUAGUACGGACGCAGCCCUGCCAGCUCGCAAUGUCGAGGCCCCCCUCCUCGAGGGGGUGAGGCUUCGGUGGUCACGAAUCUCUACGAAGUA